Molecule: ribosomal RNA, 305 nt
Filed under: uncultured bacterium
Lineage: Bacteria
Description: bacterial SSU rRNA
Rfam family: Bacterial small subunit ribosomal RNA
Source: RNAcentral
CCUACGGGACGCAGCAGUGAGGAAUAUUGGUCAAUGGGCGCAAGCCUGAACCAGCCAAGUCGCGUGAGGGAAGACGGCCCUACGGGUUGUAAACCUCUUUUGUCAGGGAACAAAGACUGGGACGCGUCCCCGGAUGAGUGUACCUGAAGAAAAAGCAUCGGCUAACUCCGUGCCAGCAGCCGCGGUAAUACGGAGGAUGCGAGCGUUAUCCGGAUUUAUUGGGUUUAAAGGGUGCGCAGGCGGUCUGUUAAGUCAGCGGUCAAAGCCCGGGGCUCAACCCCGGCCCGCCGUUGAAACUGGCAGUC